Molecule: ribosomal RNA, 497 nt
Filed under: uncultured bacterium
Lineage: Bacteria
Description: partial 16S ribosomal RNA
Rfam family: Bacterial small subunit ribosomal RNA
Source: RNAcentral
GAUGAACGCUGGCGGCGUGCCUAAUACAUGCAAGUCGAGCGAACAGACGAGGAGCUUGCUCCUCUCACGUUAGCGGCGGACGGGUGAGUAACACGUGGAUAACCUACCUAUAAGACUGGGAUAACUUCGGGAAACCGGAGCUAAUACCGGAUAAUAUAUUGAACCGCAUGGUUCAAUAGUGAAAGACGGUUUUGCUGUCACUUAUAGAGGGAUCCGCGCCGCAUUAGCUAGUUGGUAAGGUAACGGCUUACCAAGGCAACGAUGCGUAGCCGACCUGAGAGGGUGAUCGGCCACACUGGAACUGAGACACGGUCCAGACUCCUACGGGAGGCAGCAGUAGGGAAUCUUCCGCAAUGGGCGAAAGCCUGACGGAGCAACGCCGCGUGAGUGAUGAAGGUCUUCGGAUCGUAAAACUCUGUUAUUAGGGAAGAACAAAUGUGUAAGUAACUAUGCACGUCUUGACGGUACCUAAUCAGAAAGCCACGGCUAACUACGUG